UGUGUCAGAGAGAGGACAGAAGAGCUCACAUCAGUUCAGCUUCAACAUCAACAUGUUCUCUGCAGCUCUGAUACUGCUGCUGGCAGCUGGAUCCUGUGUGAACAGUAUUGAUCUCAUCCAGCCAGACUCAAUGGUUGUGCCGCCUGGACAGCCUUUGACCAUCACCUGUCAGGUCUCUGGUUAUUCUCUGACUGAUAGCAGCUAUGCAACAGGUUGGAUCAGACAGUGUGAAGGAAAACCAAUGGACUGGAUUUCACAUUUGUGGGGUGGAGGUAGCUUAACUCAAAACAAUGCUCUGAAGAACAAGUUCAGCAACAGCAGAGACACUUCUGCUGGAACAGUGACUCUAACAGGACAGAGUGUGCAGCCUGCAGACACAGCUGUGUAUUACUGUGUACGUCAGGUGGGUGCUUAUUUUGACUACUGGGGACAAGGAACUAGAGUCACAGUUUCUAAUGAAAUCGUUGCAUCUCCGACUCUGUUCCCUCUGGUUCAGUGCAACCCUGGCUCAGCAGAGACAAUCACGGUUGGUUGUCUUGCAAACGACUUCUCCCCAAAUAGUGUGACUUUUCAGUGGACUGACGCCAGUGGGACAAACCUGCCCGCUGUACAGUAUCCUCCAACAGUGAAAAACAACAAGUAUACAGGAGUCAGUGUUGUCAACGUACCAAAAUCUGAGUGGGAUUUAAGAAAGUCUUACAACUGUGCUGUGACUCACCCUGGAGGACAAAAAAGUUUGAGCAUUAAAAAGGUUAAAGCACCUUCAUGUCCAGAGACUAACGCUACCAUCACGAUGAAACUGAACAAAUCAAGUCCCAAAGAAAUGUUCAACAACAACCAGGCAAGGUUCGAUUGUGUCAUUAGUGGAGAUGACGAGACCACUGUCGAUCAAUUUCAAAUCACUUGGCAAGUCAAUGAAACAAUUCGGACCACCAGCGAGCAAGGAAGAUCGGGAGGAAUAAAAACCAGCACAAUGAGGCUCAGUCUCCAUGAGAGCCUCAGUAAUGUGCGCUGUUCUGCCUCUAAAGAUGAUGUGACAGUUUUUCAAGAUCUGCCUCCCCCCAAAAUAGAUGGAAAGGAGCCAAAAGUAACAGUCCACAUCGUCCCAGAGGAGGACAUCGAUGCAGACCCAUCCGACGAGGUCACUUUGGUGUGUCUGGUCUUCAGUAGUGAGAAGGAUUACUACAUUGCAUGGGCUGAACAUAUUGGACAAAACACCCCAAUCUACCAAGAUGGCAUCGACUUACCCCCUCAGAAGGCUAACAAUGGCUACUUUGUUACAAGUAUUUACACCACCAACAAGACAAAGUGGCAAAAUCACAUGUUCUCCUGCAACGUCUGGCCUGCUGGCGCCAAAAAGGCAAUGGCACCAAGAACCGUGUCUAACUCAAUGAAUAACUCCAUUGAAUAUUUAAUGUCAAAACUGAGUUCUGCUCUGAGCUGCACAGAUGAGGCCAUCGAUGAGGAGGAUGAGUACAGCAGCCUUUGGUCCACAACUUUGUCCUUCAUAUUCCUCUUCAUAUCCUCUCUCCUCUAUAGCAUGAUAUUCACCAUGGUCAAGAUGAAGUGGUGAGAUGGAUCCUAGACAACAAUGACAAGUGUUCAACUGUUUAGAUUUGUUUGUCUUAUUGUUGUUUUAAAGGCAUGUACAUAAUCUCUAUAUACUGUAUGUCUUCUACAUGAAAUGGUCAUCCUACAUAACGAUUGACACAUUUCUGGGAAAUUCAUUGCUAUAACUUUAGAAAAUACAAUUAGUUAGUUAUUGAAACACUUUCCACAAUGCAGAUGGAAAUAAACGUUAUGCUAUAAUCUGGCAUAUAGCAUAGCUUCUCUUUUUGAGAUUAAUGUAUUUUUAUGCAUGGUCCAUAUUCAAUAAAGAUAUAUAAAUAAUUGUACGUGA
This is a non-coding RNA of Trematomus bernacchii (emerald rockcod), 1900 nucleotides long. NCBI's taxonomy places the organism in Eukaryota, Metazoa, Chordata, Actinopteri, Perciformes, Nototheniidae. The record is from the annotation of a RefSeq genome assembly.